CACAGACUAGGUGAGUCCUGGGAGAAGGUGACUUGAAUGCAGACCAGGCUCAAAGGUAACGUUUAUAUUGAGGACUAGGUUUUUCCUGUUAGACACUAACUGAAGAACGUUUGGUGCCUGUUACUCCCCAUCCCAGUAUUAAUGCCAUUGGCAAGCAGCAAAUAAAAUUUGAUGUUGAAUAUUUCAGGAGAAAUAAGAUCUGAAUGGAGGACAUGGCAGCAGGAAACCAGUGCACAGUGGCUGAGUUCUUCUUGGCUGGGCUCUCAGAGAAGCCAGAACUCCAGCUGCCACUCUUCCUCCUCUUCACAGGAAUCUAUCACUGUAGCAGGGAACCUGGGCAUGAUCACACUGAUUGGGCUCAGUUCCCACUUGCACACACCCAUGUACUAUUUCCUCAGCAGUCUGUCCUUCAUUGACUUCUGUCAGUCCACAGUUAUCACCCCUAAAAUGUUGGUGAGCUUUCUGACAGAGAAGAACAUCAUCUUUUACUCUGGAUGCAUGGCUCAGCUCUACUUCUUCAUCAUUUUUGGCGUUGCAGAGUGCUACACAUUAGCUGCAAUGGCAUAUGACCGCUAUGUUGCCAUCUGUAAUCCCUUGCUUUACAGUGUAUCCAUGUCUUAUCAGAUUUACAGUUCUCUGAUUUCAGGAGUGUAUAUUUUUGCUGUGGUUUGCUCUUCAGUAAUCACUGGCUUUAUGCUUAGGAUUCAGUUCUGCAAGUUAGAUGUGAUCAACCACUAUUUCUGUGAUCUUCUUCCACUCUUGAAACUUGCACGCUCUAAUACCUAUAUCAAUGAAAUGUUGACAUUAUUUGUUAGUAUGUUUAAUAUCUGUGUCCCAGUGAUGACCAUUAUUACUUCCUACAUUUUCAUUAUAGCCACCAUUCUCAACAUUCACUCCAGGGAGGGCAAGUUCAAGGCUUUUAGUACCUGCAGUUCACACAUCUCUGCUGUUGCCAUUUUCUAUGGUUCUGGUGCAUUCAUGUACUUACAACCAUCAUCAGUGAGUUCAAUGGACCAAGGGAAAGUGUCCUCUGUGUUUUAUACUACUGUUGUUCCCAUGCUGAACCCCUUGAUCUACAGCCUGAGGAAUAAAGAUGUCAGUGUUGCAUUGAAGAAAAUACUUGAAAGGAAAAAAGUCAUGUAAGCAGAAUUAUGUGAAGAUAAUUUAUCACAGCAAAGUAAUUAAAAAUACACAAAAAUUUUUAUUUAACCCCACCUGUCAUUAUUAUUGCGUAGUCUAACAUCAUUUGAUAAUUUUUACUGUUACAAAUUGCAACUUAAUUUUCAAGCAUCUACUAUGUUAUAUGAUUAUAGAAUAGAAUGGAUGACAUGAACUGUUAUGCCUAUAAAGUUAUUGCAUCAUGUUAUGUAUAUUUCUCAUCAUGUUUAAUAAUUAUUACUCUAAAAUAUAAACCACCUCCUUAAUUAUAACAAAAUCAUACCAUCUAAAUUAAUUUUUAUGUCAUUUUUGAGAAUUUCAUAUUUGAGUGCUAUAAUUAUAUCAGUUCCCUCAUCUCCCUCCAACCACACUCAUGUUCUCCCUGCUCUAUUUCAAAUUAACACUCUCUCUUAUUUUAAUCAAUAUAUACCCAUAGUAAGUCUCAUUCUGCUCUCAGUAAUCACUAGUUUCUCACAGCUCUUAAUCUCAGAAUGGAGUGCUUGAAAUUUCCAAGUUCUACAUUGGAGAGCAUGUGUUGUCUAUCUUUCUAGCUCUGAGUCACCUCCAUCAGUCUAUUCUAGUACCAUUUAUUUACAUGAAAAUUUCAAAAUUCUAUUUUUUUUAUACCUAAAUAAAAUUCCACUGUGUUUUCGUCAUCAUUGCAUCAUUCAUAGGUCAUGUAGGUCAUUUUCAUUUCUUUGCUCUUGUGAAUGGCAGUAUAUGGAACAUGGAGGAACAGUUAACUGUGGUAUAGAAUGUCAAGUCCUUUGGUCACAGGACAAGGAUUGGAAUUCCAGGGUCAUAUGUUAUAUUAUUUAUUUAUGAACUUACUUACUUAUUUGCUUAUUUACUCUCUUAGUUACUUGUUUAACUCACCACAGCAUAUUCAAAAGUAGCUGCAAUUGUUUGCAAUACUGUCAAUAAUGAAUGAAAUUUAGUCUCCUUUCCUCAACAUUCUCUCAACAUAUUUUGUAUUCUGAUUUUAUUCUGAAUAAAAUAGGGCAACUUGAAAUCUAAAA
Molecule: RNA transcript, 2177 nt
Organism: Mus musculus (house mouse)
Lineage: Eukaryota; Metazoa; Chordata; Mammalia; Rodentia; Muridae
Gene: Or8g29
Gene name: olfactory receptor family 8 subfamily G member 29, pseudogene 1
Exons: 2
Source: RefSeq